CUACGGGGCGCAGCAGUGGGGAAUAUUGCACAAUGGGCGCAAGCCUGAUGCAGCCAUGCCGCGUGUAUGAAGAAGGCCUUCGGGUUGUAAAGUACUUUCAGCGGGGAGGAAGGGAGUAAAGUUAAUACCUUUGCUCAUUGACGUUACCCGCAGAAGAAGCACCGGCUAACUCCGUGCCAGCAGCCGCGGUAAUACGGAGGGUGCAAGCGUUAAUCGGAAUUACUGGGCGUAAAGCGCACGCAGGCGGUUUGUUAAGUCAGAUGUGAAAUCCCCGGGCUCAACCUGGGAACUGCAUCUGAUACUGGCAAGCUUGAGUCUCGGAGAGGGGGGUAGAAUUCCAGGUGUAGCGGUGACAUGCGUAGAGAUCUGGAGGAAUACCGGUGGCGAAGGCGGCCCCCUGGACGAAGACUGACGCUCAGGUGCGAAAGCGUGGGGAGCAAACAGGAUUAGAUACCCGUGUAGUC
This 464-nucleotide ribosomal RNA is filed under the name uncultured bacterium. RNAcentral describes it as "partial 16S ribosomal RNA". It matches the Rfam family "Bacterial small subunit ribosomal RNA", at positions 339 to 795 of the family's 1533-position model. The record is from RNAcentral.